RNAcentral lists this transfer RNA (76 nucleotides) under Burkholderiales bacterium. Its description in RNAcentral is "tRNA-Lys". It matches the Rfam family "tRNA". Rfam says of the family: Transfer RNA (tRNA) molecules are approximately 80 nucleotides in length. Their secondary structure includes four short double-helical elements and three loops (D, anti-codon, and T loops). Further hydrogen bonds mediate the characteristic L-shaped molecular structure. tRNAs have two regions of fundamental functional importance: the anti-codon, which is responsible for specific mRNA codon recognition, and the 3' end, to which the tRNAs corresponding amino acid is attached (by aminoacyl-tRNA synthetases). tRNAs cope with the degeneracy of the genetic code in two manners: having more than one tRNA (with a specific anti-codon) for a particular amino acid; and 'wobble' base-pairing, i.e. permitting non-standard base-pairing at the 3rd anti-codon position. The record is from RNAcentral. RNAcentral also lists the same sequence under 1 other name. Lineage: Bacteria; Pseudomonadati; Pseudomonadota; Betaproteobacteria; Burkholderiales.
GGGUCGUUAGCUCAGUUGGUAGAGCAGCGGACUUUUAAUCCGUUGGUCGCUGGUUCGAGUCCAGCACGGCCUACCA